GGGGGGGGCACUUCAAUUUUUUUUGGGUAGGGGUGAGCAGCUGAGACAUCAAGUACCCCACCCUUUUCAUAUAUUUGGUUUAUCAAAAAUAUAUACCUUGUCAUAUAUUAAUGAAUAAAAAACAGACCUAUAGAUAUAUUUGGAUAUUUUUCAUCUUCUUGUACAUUAGAGUUUACAAAAAUUUUGAGGUCCUGCUCAUUUUGCGUUUUUGUUUAGAUGCAACGCAGUCGCAAUAAUCACACCUUGCUUUUCCAAUAAAUUCUUCACUCCUCUAUUUGCCCCUUUUAUAACUUCAACGGCUUUAAUUAUGAAGAAAUUUCAAUUUGAAAAGACAAUAAAUAUUGUUUUAUCAGAUAAAUGUAGUAACACUUCAGAUAGUAUCACGUUUACUGAGUUUACAUUAAUUAAAAACUGAUUUGUCGUUGCCUCUUGAAGGACGCUAACACUAUGCUAUGGAAUUUCUUCAAAUGUUUUAUGUAUGCAAA
Molecule: long non-coding RNA, 485 nt
Filed under: Mytilus galloprovincialis (Mediterranean mussel)
Lineage: Eukaryota; Metazoa; Mollusca; Bivalvia; Mytilida; Mytilidae
Source: RNAcentral